Long non-coding RNA from Numida meleagris (helmeted guineafowl), 9166 nucleotides. RefSeq lists it as uncharacterized. The transcript has 3 exons. NCBI's taxonomy places the organism in Eukaryota, Metazoa, Chordata, Aves, Galliformes, Numididae. The record is from RefSeq and is a predicted model, not a curated record.
CAGUAGGAAGGUGGAAAGAAGGAGAAAUACCCCUCUCCCUCUGGAACAUUACUGGCCCUCUGAGAAAAAGACUUAGGAGAGUCAAUACAGGUGGCAGUACCAGGAUCACUUUUGAGAUACUUCAUUUUAAAUCUAAUCUCAGAGAAAUGUACAUUUUAGUACAUUUAGCUUCAGUAUCAUAGUGAUGAGAACACGCCCAGGAGACAGGUUUCCUAAAGCAGUGGGACCACAAUUCAAACCCCACAAUAACAUGAAAUUUCCGUCUCUUAGUAAAUGACUGCUAAUCAGCAAAGAUAAAACAGCAUUUCAAAGUAGUAGCUGCAUCUCGCAUAAAGAGAAAGCAAGUCAAUGUACACAAAGCAAAAUCUGUAUACUUACUAUUGAAAAAGAUUAUUUAGACAGUACAUUUGUGCAUAUGAAAACAAUCAAAUGUGGUUGCACGUAACAAAUAAUUCGUUCCAACAUCAGUUUAUAAACCCUUAGGAAGUGAAAAGAAGCAGAGUAAUUAAACUUGAUUUUCCUUAAAAACAAACAAUGAAAAAAAAACAUUUUUGGAGAAUGGAAGUUAACUUCUUCCAAGCACUGGAAUUUUGUUCCGCCUCUCCCUCUUGUCACAGUUUUACAUUCCACAUAAAACAGACACCAGUCUGACAAAUGCCUACAGAUAAAAAACUCUAACUAUAGGUAUAUAGUUGUAAACAAGUCAUGAAAGAAAUUCAUUGUGAACUCACUGCCUUCUAAGUAGUCUACAUUACCAUUUUUAUAAGAAUGUCAAGGAUAGCCUGUGUCCAUGCAAAUACUACCAGCCCAUUCUUUCCAGCAGCACCCGGUCUCUUCCACACUGCAUUUCAUCUUCCAGAAAGCACAAAGGAAAACCCCUGCACUAUUACUAUUUAUAAUACACAUUACCAAACAGUUCUUAAAGGUGUCAGUAAUUACAUCAUUUUAAGUGCUUUUCUCUAACACGUGAGUUUAUUUUAUUCAUUUUAGUCCUCCAUGUCACACAUCCUUUUUAUUUUAGUGUUUUCAAAUCAGAGUAGUAGAGGUUUCUCUUUGAUUUUUAUCAUUUUCAUGGAGGUGUCUAGUUUGAUCCCUUUUUUGUGUGCUUGCCAGCCAGUUUGCCUAAGGUAAGAAAAUCAACUUAAGAAGAUACAGUUUCCCAGCUAUGAAUUCAAAUAUGUUGCAAAACUAACAAUGGCUUUGCUUGCUGAUAGAAACUGUGACUCCAGCAAGGAGUCAAUCGCUACAUAAAAGGGAUUCGAAAUAGAUUAAAUGUGUACAGUGAGAAGUUCCUUGAAUCAGAGCCUUACCAAUGUUCACACAGGUAAAUGUUGCCAAGCUCCUGUUGAUACACAUGUUUUUGUAGGGAGAAUUUCCAAUCUUCUCAUACAUUAUUAAGGAAAAGACUUCUGGUUUUACAAGCUUGGUUUCUACACUUGUGUCAUGUUUGUACAUACUGCUGUAAGUUUUAACUGUUUGAGGUACACUCUCCUCUAAAUUACCAACGUUUUGGAAACAGAAUUCUUAACCUGAGUUGUAAACACCUAAAAGGAAGAUCCUUAUAACACACAGUAAGCACUGAGCAAUGCAGGAAGCUGCCUGCAAAAUUUGCAUCUUGACACAUGCAGUUUGAGCAAGUUUCAGGGGUGACCUGUAGGGGCUUUUUGGACAAGCUUCUUAGGUUAUUUACAGAUUCUAAGUAUUCUUGAAUCUGGCUAAUUUAGCAUGCUCUUACACCUCAGAGUAUUUGUAUUCUAAGAUCUUCGCUACUACCUUUUACUAUAAAUUGUGAGAAAAAGAGGGAAUUGUAUCAGUGAGCACUGUGGCUUCACACUCCAGAUACACUGGCUGUUUCAUUGUUUCACAUUUGUUUCAACAGCACAGUAUUAAAAGAGUGACAAGGUACACAAGACAAGGCACUUAAAAUGUAAAUACUUUUAAAAAGUGCAUAUCACUGCAUCAAGCACGACUCAUUUCAGAAAUGUUCUUUCAAAAAUAUUUGUUAAAUGUAUCUAUCUAAAUGAAAUUACCAAGUCUUCACAGAACGCAGCCAUCAGUUUAUCGACUGUGUGGUUGAGCGAAAGACUGUAAUGGCUAUAAGACUAUAAGGUUAUCAAUUCCUAUUAGUUGUUGCAAUUCACAGCUGUAAUUCACAAUUCCUCCCUGCUUCCAGGCUGCUUUCCAACUUGUCAAAAAAGGACUCCCACUUUCAGAAAAACAGUUAUUGGUGCAGUUCAUUUUGAAUUAAGCAUUCCUAAAUGAAACUAAAGGAAAACAAACAAACAAACAAAAAAAACCAGUUAGCUGUAACAACCAGAGUUGAAAAAGUCAGGACUCUGCUUGCCUGGGAAUGAACUCUGAACACAGGUUAAGAAAGCUGACAUGAUCACUUGGUUAGAUAUGGUUUAACUCAACACUUAUAUUUAACAGAUAAAUUUCUUUAUUAGUUCAAAAGAACUAGUAUCAUUUAAUGUACUUACUAGCAAACUGAAAUUCCAGAGAUGAGCAUCUAAACAGCAAAACACGCAGCUGACACCCACUAAUUCACUUUAAUCAAAUCAGUACUGGGAGAAAGAAGUUCAGCAGAAGCUAACUAACUGUACUAAGCAAAGCUGCACUAUCACAGCACUAAGACAUUAAGCACAGAAUUAAGAUAAUGAACACAAAUAGUUGCAGAAUGCAUAGGAAAUUCUGAACUACAUACACUGCAAAACAAUCCAAAUAAAUCUGUCUCGUUCAUAGCAUAAACCUGGGAAAGGGCUCUGGGCACUACUGCUUCUAGUUCGUCUCAGGUUUCUGCCUGACAUGUACCUAUGACAAGAAAAGCUAAGAUGCUAGAUUGCAAAAGUAAUAAGGUGCAGGGGAGACUUAAAAUAUUCUGUUCGUGUAAGUGGGCCCUGUCUAUCAGCUGGAUCGCAGUGCAGAGGCUGGCAGCCCACCAUGGAAAUGGGUUUUGUGGAAUUUGGGUGUUCAGAGAAAGCAAACAUUUGAGGAAUGAAGGCCUGUACCUGUGGUAUUAGGAGGCUGCAAAAAAACCUGAGUUAUUUACCUCAGAAAGACGUGCACCAAACAUUUCAAAAACACAGAAAGUAAGCCAGAAACAUUCACUGCCUGAAUAUAAAACAGCAAAGCUAAAGGGCAGCAAGUUUAAAAGUGUAAAAAUAAAAAUAUUUACUAAAAAAAAGGUGAAAAUUGGUACUUUAUGUACUGCACAAAAAGGCCACUGAUGCUGAUAAGCAAUUUAUCAGGAUUCAAAUAGGGUUAGACAUGCAUAUGGAUAACAAGAAUAUCCAUAGUAAAGGAGAUUAUUUCAUACAAAAAAAUGUGCAGAACUGAAAGGAAGAUAACAACGAGUCAAGAUUUAAAAUAAUUUCUAAUCCUUAAAAAAUCAAAUAAAGACUUUCACGAGGGGGCAGAUUAUGAAGCAUUUAAUUCUUGUAGUUGCCAGUACUGCCGUGAGGGACUCUGUGAUCUCCAGUACCUUAGACAGGAUGCUGAAUGAGGUGACCUGCAGAUAACAGUUAUCUCUGAGCACCAAUGCUGUACGUUCAGAGCAUGAGUACAGCCACCUCCCUUCCUGUCUUCAAACUCAGGAAGAUAUAACUGUCUUCUCACAGAUUUCCUAUCUUCAUUCCACAGUACACACCUAUUGCCACUUACUCGGCCUCCCUGGUAUACCUCGCUUUCUUACUCCUUGUAUCUCCUACCCCAGAUACCCCUACAAACUCCAGCAUCUCUCCCAGAUGUGAUGUCCCACGCCCUGGUCCCUGCCCACUCCUUGGUACCAGAACCUUGCUUACACCUACCGCAGAGCUUUCCUGCUCUGUAAAGACAGUAUGUCACCAUGUGGGACCAGACUGAAGGAAAGAAGACGGAGCCCACUUCCCAACCACCGCUAAGUCCAGGAAGCAAAGCAUCAGUGCUGUGGAUGCUACAGCAGAUAAAACCUUCUCUAAGUGAGGAAGGUCCAGAGUGCCGCAAAGCUGCGAGGCAGCGUGGAUCAGCCGGUGUACUCGGGAGUCACUGUGGCAGCCCGCUCACAGCAGGCAUGGCCGCCACCUGAACUUACUAGGCCACACACUUCCCAACUUUGAAAGGUCUCUUUCUCCUCCACAGCUACAGGACAGCUUUUGCUUUCACUUUAUUCAAGUACCGAACCAGAUUUUGAAGAGCACCACAACAGCUUCCAAUACCAGCAGGGAGCAGACCUGACAGACACAGGCCCACUAGCGCAGCAUGUGCCACGUCCAGUCAGGGGUUGAUCCGGUCACCCCGUCAAUGUCACUGCCAUGGCCAUGCUGCUCCAGGCCAAGCUCAGCCUGCGACCACUGAGCUGCGUGCAGCAGCACAGUGCCAGGGUAGCAGCUACACACAGAGAGGUCUACAUGUAUUAAAAAGAAUAAAUUGUUUCACAAAGCAUGUUCCUUUCACAGAGACUGCUUACAGCUUCUUGUCCCGAAUGUGAGCAGAGUUUUCCCUCCUUCUGCAUUCCCUUCAUUUUAUUAUCUUCAGCAAUCUUUAGCAUGAGACGGAUUUGAGGAUGUUCAGACAAGAGAAUAAAUACGGUAACAGUUUUGUUUGAUGCUUUAACAUGAACGCUGCAUACAUGCCAGUCCUGAUUUCAGCAGCUGUUCUGAGUUCUGGAAGGCUCCUCCGAAGCGAGCACAAGUCUGUUCCUCAAGCAGUGCUAACUAUGGCCUAUAUUCUGAUUUGUUCAUAGCAGGCAUACCAGCACCAUUGUUCAGAAAGCACAUACAGCUCUGCAGUCCACAGUUACAGGAAUUCAGCUCACUCUGUAUUUACUACAUGUGGCUCUAUUAAGCCACAGAUCUACCAUGAAAGCACUGAAAAGUCAUCAAACACCACUCCUGUGUGCUAUAAUUUGUUUUCACCUUUUUCAGUGUAAUUACUGAGGACAUUCACUUGCAAUCUAUAAACAUUUCCACUGUUACUUCACAGUGUGGCAGCCUUUUCAGCUGCUGCUGAGCAGCUGCUCUAUGAAUUCUAUUCAAUCUCUGUCAGACUGAAAAAUAAUUUUAUUUACUGCUAACACACGAGACUUCAAAUAACCACUGAUAAAUGUGCAGCGCAAUGAGACAGGCCCAUAAUUAUCUCUCUGUCACUAAUGACUACACACAAAUUGCAAUUUUUAUCUGAGCUUCACUGUCAUUCUAAGCUGUCACUGCCACUGCCCUCAAGUGCUUGUUCCUGUCCCGCUCUCUCCUUCGGGUGACAGGAGACUGUGCACCACACUGUGAACACAACUUAGGAUUCUUCUUAAAACUGCUUUCCACCACUCCCCUGAACCUGUUCACCAUACAGCCACUCAUGAUUAGGCUGCCUUCAGCUCAGGGCAGUACAGGGGCUGGGCAAGUGAACUGGAAGUGUGAGUACCAGAAGGGCCUCAAUAACCACUUCUGUAAAAGAUGCCAAAAAUGGAUAGGAUUCCCCAAAUAGUUGCAUUCAAGCACAGCUAUCUGUGAUGCAAACAGAAUAAAAAGCAGGAAAAAUUCUUCUUGUCACUGAAGAUAAAAUAUUUCAUCCUGAACUUACAAGAAAAAAUGAUUCUCAAUUUAAAGAGAUCCUGCACAAAGUGGAAUCAUACCAUCAGCUGAACAUAAUGCUCGUGGUCCCAUUUCUGGUUACAUCAGUGUGAUACAAGGGGAUGUCUGAAAACACUCUGUUGAUUGAAUGUAGCAGCAAGAAUAAGUAAGGUGAAAAUAUAGCAUUUUCAUAUAGGUCUCUGAAAAAUGCAACCAGGGACCUUGGUUAUACUUAACAAACUUUUUUGGCUCAUGAUUUUUCAAGUAGAACUUCUAAUGCAGUUGUAGCUGCAUUUUCAAAGUCAGUAAAAAUUUCUCAUACUUAACAGAUUUAGAUAUCUAAAUGACCGUUGUUUUGGAACAAAGUAUUUGGUUUGCAUGCUCUAUCUCCCUCUCACUAGAGAAAAAGCUAUGAAAUCUAAAAAAAAGGCGGAAGAUGUAAAACCAAACUCACAGCUACAGAGUAGAGCACCCAAAUGAGCCAUCAAUUCUAGAUUCCAUUUUAUUGUGUUUGCAUAAUGGAACGAAGCUGACAUUUACCAGGCAGAGGUGAAUGAAAAUGCACCUGUACAAUCACCAUCAAGGGACCUAACUGAACUACAAACUUCCCCUUUAAGAAUAGGAAUGAGGCACUAAAGCUGCAGGCAGAGAACUGAGGAUUAGAGUCCAUGAGAUCUGAGGCUGACCUCUCAACGUGGCUAAUGUAACGACGACACCAGACAAUUUUUUGCUCUUCAAGUUUAGUGCUGUGACCAGACACUAUCCUGAUGGCAGUUUUUUAAUAAAAAAGGAAGAGACCUCUGCACUAACACUAGUGAAAUCUUUCUUUUUUUGUCACUCCAAAGCCUCUGUGAUACUGCUGGAUGCUGCAGAUCGUGCUUCCUUCUGCAAACAGGGGCAUCUCAUGGAGGCUGGGGACUGCAUCUGCUGAGUCCAUGGUGAAAGCUCGCUGCACAUGUGCAUCUAAAAGCCAUGUGUUGUAUUAACACAGCCUGAACCCAAGUACUGUGACUACAGUAGUAAGUACAAGGAACUAAUAUCUCUGUUCUGCUCAUGACACCCUAUGUCCAAGCUGGAACACCCUACCUACCUCUUAACAGGGAUCACUAGUUUGGGCUUAGCAUCACAUGACAGCAGCUGUAUGAUUCCUGCAUAAGGAGGAAGGUUGUGCCUGGCUAGCACAAUGAGCAAUUCAGAAACUGUGCUCUGGUACCACUCAGCCACAGAGAUAGCCAAUAAGUAACAAAACCUGCCGUGCUGGUCAACAGGAAGCAGGAUGCUUCCCGCCUCCCUUCACCGCAAGCGCCAGCAUGUGAAGGUGUUCCAGCAGAGGAGAUAAGGCAGUCCAAAAUGACAGCAAGGAAAGCUCAUUCUGCAAGCAGGCAGAUACCUCCUCCCUCCCCAGUGAGAGGGAGAAAACUGGAGGAGGUGUUAGAGAGACCUGUGUCUGUACCAAUGAUAAAAGCAGUAUUCACAACAGAAAGUGAUGCCAAGAUAGCAAGGUUAAGAUCGAUCUAAGAAGGUGCAUGUGUUCUUUGUUUCCCACUCUGUAGACCUGUCAGGACUUCAAAUUUCCUCUUGACCUGCCACAGUAAUUCAAACAGAUCACAUUUGUUUUCCUCCGUAUGCAUUUCUGUGUCUUAUAGCCUUAAACUGCCUCACCAGCCAUUCUGGCAGAGCAAGACCAACCUAACUGCUGUGGGACAUAUUUGAAAACAUCUGGAUGUGUAGUAAGGUUCUUUGUCUAUAUGCCAGGCAAUCUUUACACAUCCCAGCUCAGAGGCAUCAGCUGGAGGUGUGGUGGUCCCAAACUGCAGCCGUGCAGAACUCUGCAAGGAGAGACUCUAUACACUCAGAGAAAGGCUAUCUCUGUGGUGGGGAAGGCACUGGGACUUGCUCUUGGCAAACAACUAUGGAGCAAUGGCUGGCUGCUCAACAGAAUUGAGCAGAAAAUGGGAAUUCAAACUAUGAGGUCCCGGGGUCAACACAAGGGUAUUUAAUAACAGGCUCUCCUGCACAGGCUUUGCUCUAAAUACGCAGAAUAGAUUUGCACAUGUCGGAUCACUGGGACCAAAACAAAUGCUGAAGUGAACAAGGCUAUGGCUCCUUUGAAAUCACAUAAACAUCACCCAGCUCUCUUUUGGUGCUCAGAGCAGAUCAGGAAUGACACGUUAAAAAUAAUUGAGCAUUACACAGAGUCACAGCAGCCUGGUGAACCUGAGCGCUCCAGACCCAGAGACCAGGAAUGCAACAGAUAAGUAAUACUGCUGCUGUAGCGGAGAAUGGAACUGUCUCACUACAGGUGUGUCUUUCAGUGUAAUAAUUUACAUUACAUACCAGGUAUGACUUAACAGAAGCAUAUGUAGAAGAGUCAUAAAGACAGAUACCCACAGAGACACGUUUAUUAUUACUCAAAAUCUUUCACUUUCAAAGUAACUCAUUUCCAGAGUAACUGGGUUAAUUUUUUAGUGUGAAAAUAUUAAUAGGCACUUCACAUUUAUCAGGAUAGCGUACUGUAAGACUAGAGUCAAGCUGCUUAGAGAUUAGACUGAUUAAAGAUGACAUCUAAUGUAAUAUGAAUGUAACUUUAUAUUACGAAACUUAAUCUGCUGGAAAGUCCCAGAAAUUCAGGGUACUUUCCCAUGAAUAAAGUAAACGUUUCCCAUCCUAUUACAACGGAGGGCAACUGCCAGUUUUUAAAGUUCUUUAUUUGGUCACCUAAAACAUUAAAUCAGACAUUUGAAACUCAUCAUCCACUUGAGGUUUAUUUUUCAUGUAAAAAUGUGAGAAAAAAACCUGAGGUUUAAAUACUGUCACUUUUGCUGAAGUCACCUCAGCAGAAUCCUGCAAACUGAAAAGGGCCAGAUGUUGAAAUUCCAUGGCGGAAGACUACUUUCUUUUUCUCACCAUUCUUCUGUCUAAGAGAACUAUCAAAUCAGUUACGAAACUGAGGGCAAGCAUGAAGAGCUUUAGGUAUUACCAACAUACAAUUAAACCUGACAAAAUAAUUUUAUGUAACAAUUCGUGUCUGUGCUGAGAUUCUGUUUGUCUGUGGGAAUGGACGGCUCCAUUCCAAAUGUUUCUAACCCUCUUUUGAAUGCCAGUGGCUAAAUAAUGUGUUGAAAAUGCUAGCUUAGAUACUUAGGCUACGAAUUCCAUAGGUGUAUACAAUUAAAAAAAAUAUACCAUUCGUUCUGUUUGAUCCUUGUAACAUAUGUGGUAACUGUAGAGUUUAACCCACAGUACAACACAGAGUUCUGUAACUUGGUAAACACUAGGAAGCCUUGUUUAGAAAACACCACCACUUUUAAUGAGUUCAGAAAGAAAACACAACCAAACUGAUGUUUCAGACCAACGUUUUCACUGUUUUAUUAACAGAAUAUAUUAGAACCGGUCAUCUGAAAGCAAGAUUGAAUGAUUUAUACAAAGCUGAUAGUUACCAGAUAUAAAGACAAAUGUCCGAAACAACUUCAAAAUAACCUGUACCUGCAGAAGCAACAUCGAUUUUGUUGUAAUAGCUUUGUUUCUUUCUUAAGCGACAUUACAGACUAACUUUUUGCUCUGAUGCUGCUCUGAAGUGAAAACCGGAAUUUUCUAUAGUUGGAGUGUUACAGUAGAAUAUG